RNAcentral lists this ribosomal RNA (253 nucleotides) under uncultured bacterium. Its description in RNAcentral is "partial 16S ribosomal RNA". It matches the Rfam family "Bacterial small subunit ribosomal RNA", at positions 524 to 776 of the family's 1533-position model. The record is from RNAcentral.
GACAGAGGUGCCAAGCGUUAGGCGGAAUCACUGGGCUUAAAGCGCGUGUAGGCGGAUUUGUAAGUACCUUGUGAAAUCCCACGGCUCAACCGUGGAACUGCUCGGUAUACUGCUUAUCUUGAGCCACGUAGGGGCUACCGGAACAAAUGGUGGAGCGGUGAAAUGCGUAGAUAUCAUUUGGAACGCCAAUGGUGAAAACAGGUAGCUGGGAGUGUGCUGACGCUGAGACACGAAGGCCAGGGGAGCAAACGGG